CGGAGGAUGCAAGCGUUAUCCGGAUUCAUUGGGUUUAAAGGGUGCGCAGGUUGUUUGAUAAGUCAGUGGUGAAAGUCUGUCGCUUAACGGUAGGAUUGCCAUUGAUACUGUUGGACUUGAAUAUGGAUGAGGUAGGCGGAAUGUGUAGUGUAGCGGUGAAAUGCAUAGAUAUUACACAGAACACCGAUUGCGAAGGCAGCUUACUAAUCCAUCAUUGACGCUGAGGCACGAAAGCGUGGGGAUCAAA
This 247-nucleotide ribosomal RNA is filed under the name uncultured prokaryote. Its description in RNAcentral is "partial 16S ribosomal RNA". It matches the Rfam family "Bacterial small subunit ribosomal RNA", at positions 526 to 772 of the family's 1533-position model. The record is from RNAcentral.